AGUGGCCCCCAGGGCGCGUCCACCUCCGUCGCUCUGCUGCUGAUAAGCGUCCUCGUUGAGCUCUACGUGAUGAUGCUGUAGACCCGGCGGCCGCCGGACGAGAGAUCCUGGAGGCGUCGACGUUGCGAGUGGCGCGCCCUUCCAUUUUUCUUUUUUCAUUUAUUCGUUCAGCAAUCAAAAUAUUCAUUCAUUAAUUCAGCAAUAAAAU
Long non-coding RNA from Syngnathus acus (greater pipefish), 208 nucleotides. RefSeq lists it as uncharacterized. The transcript is spliced from 2 exons. The record is from RefSeq and is a predicted model, not a curated record. Lineage: Eukaryota; Metazoa; Chordata; Actinopteri; Syngnathiformes; Syngnathidae.